AUUGAACGCUGGCGGCAUGCCUUACACAUGCAAGUCGAACGGCAGCAUGGAAGAGCUUACUCUUCUGAUGGCGAGUGGCGAACGGGUGAGUAAAGCAUCGGAACGUACCGUGUAGUGGGGGAUAACGUAGCGAAAGUUACGCUAAUACCGCAUACGCACUGAGGUGGAAAGCAGGGGAUCGCAAGACCUUGCGCUAUACGAGCGGCCGAUGUCAGAUUAGCUAGUUGGUAGGGUAAAGGCCUACCAAGGCGACGAUCUGUAGCGGGUCUGAGAGGAUGAUCCGCCACACGGGGACUGGAACACGGCCCAGACUCCUACGGGAGGCAGCAGUGGGGAAUUUUGGACAAUGGGGGAAACCCUGAUCCAGCCAUGCCGCGUGAGUGAAGAAGGCCUUCGGGUUGUAAAGCUCUUUCGGCUGGGAAGAAAUCGCACAGGCUAAUACUCUGUGUGGAUGACGGUACCAGCAUAAGAAGCACCGGCUAACUACGUGCCAGCCGCCGCCGUAA
This 506-nucleotide ribosomal RNA is filed under the name uncultured bacterium. RNAcentral describes it as "partial 16S ribosomal RNA". It matches the Rfam family "Bacterial small subunit ribosomal RNA", at positions 30 to 523 of the family's 1533-position model. The record is from RNAcentral.